GGGCGCAAGCCUGAUGCAGCGACGCCGCGUGAGGGAUGGAGGCCUUCGGGUUGUAAACUUCUUUUGCUCUGAACAAGGCGCACCAUGGGGUGUGUUGAGUGUAGGGGUUGAUUAGCGCCGGCUAACUACGUGCCAGCAGCCGCGGUAAUACGUAGGGCGCGAGCGUUGUCCGGAAUUAUUGGGCGUAAAGGGCUUGUAGGUGGCUGGUUGCGUCUGUCGUGAAAGCUCAUGGCUUAACUGUGGGUUUGCGGUGGGUACGGGCUGGCUUGAGUGCAGUAGGGGAGACUGGAAUUCCUGGUGUAACGGUGGAAUGCGCAGAUAUCGGGAAGAACACC
Molecule: ribosomal RNA, 335 nt
Filed under: uncultured bacterium
Lineage: Bacteria
Description: bacterial SSU rRNA
Rfam family: Bacterial small subunit ribosomal RNA
Source: RNAcentral